AUAAGAUAAGGCCCCAAAACCAACUCAUAGUUGUAAACACCCUUACCUCAUUAUGUAAUGAAAUUUCAAACCAGCAUAAUAAAAUGGGGAACCUCCCGCGGGGCCAAACGAUAUCCUUUAUACCACAGCGGUUAAUAUAACAAGGGGAGCCAUAACCGAUACGGUGGAGCACCUUUUCCAACGUCAUAAUAUCCCCCUGCUGCCUGACGAGACCUUUUCCUACUUAAAACAAAUCUAAAUCUCGAACCCCUGGUAUUUCAUUGAGGAGAAAAGACAAAUAGGGACCUCAAAACGCCCUGAGUGGGACGCCCCCUUCGGGCUGAGAUGCUUUCCGGACAUGCUAUUCUUUUUAUUUAUAGAAUAGUUC
Molecule: long non-coding RNA, 367 nt
Filed under: Gossypium barbadense (sea-island cotton)
Lineage: Eukaryota; Viridiplantae; Streptophyta; Magnoliopsida; Malvales; Malvaceae
Description: long non-coding RNA (GBAR_LNC004444)
Source: RNAcentral